Molecule: long non-coding RNA, 212 nt
Filed under: Hordeum vulgare
Lineage: Eukaryota; Viridiplantae; Streptophyta; Magnoliopsida; Poales; Poaceae
Description: long non-coding RNA (HVUL_LNC016082)
Source: RNAcentral
AGUUUCGGUGGAAACUUGAUGAGGUUAUGUGAACCAUCACUUCAACCAGUGUGUGUAGCAGGGCGCAGGAAGUUGUUCCUCUCGCGCCUACACCAAUUGAAGUGGAAGCUGAUGAUAAUGAUCAUGAAGAUUCGGAUCAAGUCACUACCGAACCUCGUAGGUCGACAAGGACGCGUACUACUCUAGAGUGGUACGGUAACCCUGUCUUGAAG